Molecule: long non-coding RNA, 1509 nt
Organism: Canis lupus familiaris (dog)
Lineage: Eukaryota; Metazoa; Chordata; Mammalia; Carnivora; Canidae
Exons: 4
Source: RefSeq, a predicted model, not a curated record
AUUACUUUAAAAUCUAAAAUUGGAUGGAUAAUUUUAGGCACCUCACGAACAUUACAGUAUUUAGGCAUUUUAUGUAUAUCUCUCAUUUAAUCGUCAUAACAUCUCUAUAAUGUGGUAACACUGUACCCACAUUACAGAUAAAAACCUGAGACUUGUCUAAAGCCACUGAGCUAGAAGUAGUAAAGCUGAGAUGUGAGCCACAGUCUAACUCCAAAAUCUAAGCCUUUUCUAAAAGAAAUGUAUUGAAGACAGGCUAUUUUUUUUUUAUUUAUAAAUAAGCCUUCUAGAACAUGAAUGUUCAUACACUCACAUAAAAACCAGUGCUUCAAACAUGAGAAUCAGGAGUACAGACCAAAGAAACAUUUGCUGUAUCAGGAUAUGCAACAUUCAGAGAUCAGGAUCAUUUUUUGGGAGAGGUGGGUGAAUCCAUUCCCAAUUAUCAAAGAUGAAAGACUCACAUAAAUGAUAGGAGCAUCCUACCCAGAGGAAACACACACCAACAGGGUAAAGAGCACAAAGGCUUUCCACCAGUGGAAAACCAGCAAUUGUUUUACGUUAAGGAUGUAGUCCUCUUAACAAUCAACAGGAAGGUAAAACCAAAAAGACUCAGAGUAUGGCUUCACCAAUUUAUCACUGUUGGAAAAACAGCUCAAGCACUUAUAAUAUACUUAGUAGUAACAAACUGAGGAAAAGUUCUAGGUGGUUGUAUUCAUACAUCUUUGUCCAACAGGUAUUACGCAGAGUGUGCGCAGGAACCAAGCAGGGUCCUUUACAUGUUAUCAUCUCUAUUAUCAGUAAGGAUGUUCCUAGAAAGGAAGACUUACUUGAUAAAUCUCAAGAAAAGUGGGGAGAGUUCCCUGGACCGUGGCUCUAUCCUCUCUGGGAAUUUUGCCAGAGCUCGCCAGAGCAAAAAUCGAAAGUUGGUGUGGUCCAAUCUUUCCCGACAGUCAGUUUUCGACACUAACUGCUCAUGAUAAAGAGCUCCAACAUCUCCUUCCUGAGUCUGCUCCCAACUUUCAUCUCCAAUGGACUUCUCAUCUCUGACAUCAUUUUGUAGCUCCUUCUCUGCAAGGAAAAGCUCUGUGCCUGACCAGACAGGCUCCAGAGAGAGGAUCAACAAUUACCAGGACCCAGAUGGAGCAUGAGAAGGCCUUAGCCUAGCUCUUGGGGAUCAUUGACUAUGGAGUUUGAAGGAGCAGGUCUGGCCCCUCCCGAUCAACACAAGGCACCAAACCAGGGGCACAGAUUUUAUUUAUUUAUUCAUAGAAACAGAGAGAGAGAGGCAGAGACACAGGCAGAGGGAGAAGCAGGCUCCAUGCAGGGAGCCCGACGUGGGACUCGAUCCUGGGUCUCCAAGGAUCAUGCCCCAGGCCGAAGGUGGCGCUAAACUGCUAAGCCCCUGGGAUUGCCCAAAAAGUCCUUAUUUUUAAACUAAAGUUUGGCUCACUGACUCACUAUAUAAUAAAAUUUUGCAAUUAUUAUACAAUAUCCUAUUACUCUAAAAAAUAA